UUUGUUCCUGAGGACAGUGCCUGCAGGCAGGAUGGCUCUGUGUGCUGGGUUUGUCAGCUUGCCCGCAGAUGAGUUGGAAAGUCCUGUCUGUUCCCAUCAUUCAGCGAAUGAUGUUCGCCUACUGUGUGUGGAGGCUUCAGGCUUCGCUACUGUGUUAGUGUUCCUGUGGGGCUCUGAAAUGAUCCGGGUCUCCCUUGCCCUUACAGCCGUGCCUAGCCCGGCAUCCAUCACGUUCCACCCACCACCCCCUUCUGGAUGGAAAGAUCAGUGAGCCUCGUAGUAAGUCCCACAAGCAAAGCCCUGGGUUGGCCUGGGUGAGAAGAGCAGUUGGGCUUUGCAGGAGGAGAGCAGGCCACAGAGGAGUGGGGAGCUUGACCUCGUAAUGCUUCUGCUGGUUUUCCUCAAAGGAUUUUCAAAAAAAUUGUAGACAAUAACCUUGAAAAUGUACAAUAAGCGUAUCUGGUGUUGGCUGGG
This is a long non-coding RNA of Rattus norvegicus (Norway rat), 474 nucleotides long. RefSeq annotates it as immunoglobulin heavy chain 6 like 1. The record is from RefSeq and is marked predicted. NCBI's taxonomy places the organism in Eukaryota, Metazoa, Chordata, Mammalia, Rodentia, Muridae. The transcript is spliced from 4 exons.